Molecule: ribosomal RNA, 496 nt
Filed under: uncultured bacterium
Lineage: Bacteria
Description: partial 16S ribosomal RNA
Rfam family: Bacterial small subunit ribosomal RNA
Source: RNAcentral
GAUGAACGCUGGCGGCGUGCCUAAUACAUGCAAGUCGAGCGAACAGAUGAGGAGCUUGCUCCUCUGACGUUAGCGGCGGACGGGUGAGUAACACGUGGAUACCCUACCUAUUAGACUGGGAUAACUUCGGGAAACCGGAGCUAAUACCGGAUAAUAUAUUGAACCGCAUGGUUCAAUAGUGAAAGACGGUUUUGCUGUCACUUAUAGAUGGAUCCGCGCCGCAUUAGCUAGUUGGUAAGGUAACGGCUUACCAAGGCAACGAUGCGUAGCCGACCUGAGAGGGUAAUAGGCCACACGGGACGUGAGACCCGGUCCAGACCCCAAGGGAAGGCAGUGCCAGGAAGUCUCCCGCAAGGGGCGAAGUCUGAACCGGGCAACGCCGCGAGAGUCAGGAAGAGUUGCGGAUGGUAACACUCUGUUAUUAGGGAAGAACAAAUGUGUAAGAAACGAUGCAAGUCUGGCCGGUACCAAAUAAGAAAGCCACGACUACUUACGU